Molecule: ribosomal RNA, 540 nt
Filed under: Trigonopterus sp. 733 AR-2022a
Lineage: Eukaryota; Metazoa; Arthropoda; Insecta; Coleoptera; Curculionidae
Description: partial large subunit ribosomal RNA
Rfam family: Bacterial large subunit ribosomal RNA
Source: RNAcentral
GGCUUGUUGAGUAUAAUUUCAGGUCUGACCUGCCCUAUGAGUUGAUUAAAUGGCCGCGGUAUUUUGACCGUGCAAAGGUAGCAUAAUCACUAGUUUUUUAAUUGAAAGCUUGAAUGAAAGGUUUGAUGAAAAAAUUUCUGUCUCUGGGAAGAUUUAUUAAAACUUUAUUUUUAAGUUAGAAAGCUUAAAUUUUUAUAGAAGACGAGAAGACCCUAUAGAGUUUUAUAUUUUUAUUAAAGGUUAAAUUUAAAGCAUGAAAAAUUUAAUUUUUUGUAAAAGAUAUUUUGUUGGGGUGAUAGGAAAAUUAAUAAAACUUUUCUUAAAUAAUUACAUUUAUGUGUGGGUUGAUGAUCCUAUAUAUUUAGAUUAAAAGAUUAAAUUACCUUAGGGAUAACAGCGUUAUUUUUUUUAGAGUUCUUAUCAAAAAAAAAGUUUGCGACCUCGAUGUUGGAUUAAAGUAAGUUGUUGGUGUAGAAGCUAACAAAUUAAGUCUGUUCGACUUUUAAGACUUUACAUGAUCUGAGUUUAAACCGGCGUGAG